GAGCGAACGGAUGACGAUCUAGCUCUUAUGAAGUAAGCGGCGGCCGGGUGAGUAUCACGUGGGUACCUGCCCAUAAGAUGGGAUAACUCCGGGAAACUGGGGUCUAAUACCGGAUAACAUUUUGAACCGCAUGGUUCGAAAUUGAAAGGCGGCUUCGGCUGUCACUUAUGGAUGGACCCGCGUCGCAUAAGCUAGUUGGUGAGGUAACGGCUCAUCAAUGCAACGAUGCGUAUCCGACCUGAUAGGGUGAUCGGCCUCACUGGGACUGAUACACUGCCCAUACUCCUACGGGAGGCAUCAGUAUGGAAUCUUCCGCAAUGGACGAAUGUCUGACGGAGCAACGCCGCGUGAGUGAUGAAGGCUUUCGGGUCGUAAAACUCUGUUGUUAUGGAAGAACAAGUGCUAUUUGAAUAAUCUGGCACCUUGACGGUACCUAAUCAUAAAGCCACGGCUAACUACGUGCCAGCAUCCGCGGUAAU
This 479-nucleotide ribosomal RNA is filed under the name uncultured bacterium. RNAcentral describes it as "bacterial SSU rRNA". It matches the Rfam family "Bacterial small subunit ribosomal RNA", at positions 64 to 524 of the family's 1533-position model. The record is from RNAcentral.